This 851-nucleotide ribosomal RNA is filed under the name uncultured archaeon. RNAcentral's name for it is "bacterial SSU rRNA". It matches the Rfam family "Archaeal small subunit ribosomal RNA", at positions 23 to 879 of the family's 1478-position model. The record is from RNAcentral.
GUCACUGCUAUUGGGAUUCGACUAAGCCAUGCGAGUCGUGAGGGUUCGGCCCUCGGCAGACGGCUCAGUAACACGUAGAUAAUUUGCCCUUAGGUGGAGGAUACCCUCGGGAAACUGAGAAUAAUACUCCAUAGAUCUAGACUGCUGGAAUGCUUUUAGAUUGAAAGAUUUAUCGCCUAAGGAUAAGUCUGCGGACUAUCAGGUUGUAGUCAGGGUAAAGACCUGACUAGCCUACGACGGAUACGGGUAGUGAGAGCUUUAGCCCGGAGAUGAUAUCUGAGACACGAUAUCAGGCCCUACGGGGCGCAGCAGGCGCGAAAGCUUCGCACUGUGCGAAAGCACGACGAGGGAAUCCCAAGUGCUGGCUCGUAAGAGUCAGCUGUUUUUCUGUCUAAAAAACAGAGAGAGUAAGGCCUGGGUAAGACGGGUGCCAGCCGCCGCGGUAAUACCUGCAGACCAAGUGGUGGCCGCUAUUAUUGGGCCUAAAACGUCCGUAGCCGGUUCUAUAAAUGCCUGGGUAAAUCGUACGGCUUAACCGUACGAAUUCCGGGUAGACUGUUCAACUUGGGACCGGGAGAGGCUAGAGGUACUCCUGGGGCAGAGGUGAAAUUCUGUAAUCCUAGGGGGACCACCAGUGGCGAAGGCGUCUAGCUAGCACGGGUCUGACGGUGAGGGACGAAGCCCUGGGGAGCAAACGGGAUUAGAUACCCCGGUAGUCCAGGGUGUAAACGCUGCUCGCUUGAUGUUAGUCGGGCUCCGAGCCCGAUUAGUGUCGGAGAGAAGUUGUUAAGCGAGCUGCCUGGGGAGUACGGUCGCAAGACUGAAACUUAAAGGAAUUGGCGGGGGAGCAC